Long non-coding RNA from Ipomoea nil (Japanese morning glory), 498 nucleotides. RefSeq lists it as uncharacterized. The transcript has 3 exons. The record is from RefSeq and is a predicted model, not a curated record. NCBI's taxonomy places the organism in Eukaryota, Viridiplantae, Streptophyta, Magnoliopsida, Solanales, Convolvulaceae.
UUGCCCUGGGCCUACAAAACUAUAGGACCGGGGCCCUGCUCAGUAGCAGCUCCAUGACGCGAGUGGUGGUGGUUUCGACGGGUGGUGAUCUCCGGCGAACCAUCUGGGUUUUCUCUCCGGCAUUCCUUGUUCUCCGGGUGAAGCAAAGCAGUAAGUGGUGGAGAAGCAAAACAGCGGCAGUGGUUAGAGGCUCGUAGCAGUGGUGGUGCGUGGCGACGGCGGAGUUUCACGGCAGCGUUUCUCCCCUCCUUACCGACGGCGGUGCUCGGAGGUAGCUUAGGAACGAGCUCCGGCGACGUGGUGGAUCCGGUGUACCCGCGGGCAGAAGUAGGGUGGAGGUAGCACCCGUGUUCCACCCGCGGGGUGGUGGCAUGAAGAAGACGAAGAAGAAGCUUGGUUCCCGGUAGCAUGGUUUUAUGAGUUGAGCCAAUGUUGCCGUUAGUUUUGGUUGGAUAAGCAAAUGAGGUGAUGUCUAGAUGAGCGCGAUGUCUAGUGGCC